This 455-nucleotide ribosomal RNA is filed under the name uncultured bacterium. RNAcentral describes it as "bacterial SSU rRNA". It matches the Rfam family "Bacterial small subunit ribosomal RNA", at positions 340 to 784 of the family's 1533-position model. The record is from RNAcentral.
UACGGAAGGCAGCAGUGGGGAAUAUUGCACAAUGGGCGAAAGCCUGAUGCAGCUAUGCCGCGUGUAUGAAGAAGGCCUUAGGGUUGUAAAGUACUUUCAUCGGGGAGGAAAAAACAAAACUAAUAAUUUUAUUUCUUGACGUUACCCGAAAAAGAAGCACCGGCUAACUCCGUGCCAGCAGCCGCGGUAAUACGGAGGGUGCUAGCGUUAAUCAGAAUUACUGGGCGUAAAGAGCACGUAGGUGGUUUUUUUAAGUCAGAUGUGAAAUCCCUGGGCUUAACCUGGAACUGCAUUUUGAAACUGAAAUACUAGAGUAUCGUAGAGGGAGGUAGAAUUCUAGGUGUAGCGGUGAAAUGCGUAGAUAUCUGGAGGAAUACCUGUGGCGAAAGCGGCCUCCUAAACGAAUACUGACACUGAGGGUGCGAAAGCGGUGGGGAGCAAACGAGGAUUAGAUA